GUGGGGAAUUUUGGACAAUGGGGGAAACCCUGAUCCAGCCAUGCCGCGUGCGGGAAGAAGGCCUUCGGGUUGUAAACCGCUUUUGUCGGGGAAGAAAUCUUCCGGGCUAAUACCCUGGGAGGAUGACGGUACCCGAAGAAUAAGCACCGGCUAACUACGUGCCAGCAGCCGCGGUAAUACGUAGGGUGCAAGCGUUAAUCGGAAUUACUGGGCGUAAAGCGUGCGCAGGCGGUCGUGCAAGACAGAUGUGAAAUCCCCGGGCUUAACCUGGGCACUGCAUUUGUGACUGCUCGACUGGAGUACGGCAGAGGGGGGUAGAAUUCCGCGUGUAGCAGUGAAAUGCGUAGAUAUGCGGAGGAACACCGAUGGCGAAGGCAGCCCCCUGGGCCUGUACUGACGCUCAUGCACGAAAGCGUGGGGAGCAAACAGGAUUAGAAACCCUGGUAGUCC
This 450-nucleotide ribosomal RNA is filed under the name uncultured bacterium. RNAcentral describes it as "bacterial SSU rRNA". It matches the Rfam family "Bacterial small subunit ribosomal RNA", at positions 354 to 796 of the family's 1533-position model. The record is from RNAcentral.